Esox lucius (northern pike) is the source of this 748-nucleotide long non-coding RNA. The record is from Ensembl. NCBI's taxonomy places the organism in Eukaryota, Metazoa, Chordata, Actinopteri, Esociformes, Esocidae.
GAGCUGUCAGAAUAUAGCAAGCACUUAAUGUUUACCGGUAACGUAAUUGGCGGUUCACUUGACCUGAGCUCUUCCCAGGCAUUUUUGUUUCAAUAUAUCAUUGGAGAGUAGGCAUUCAUGCCGAAAAUCGUGUUUACUCUGCACUAGUUCAACAACAACAGCAUAAGAACGCGUUACUAGGCUACAUAUCCGUUACAAUGAAUGUGAAGAAAUUGGAAUAUCUCACCUAGCGUCCCGUACCCCAGUCUCAUUCCAAAUACCCAUCAAACGAAAAUGCUAGCUGUGUCCUCCCUAACUCUGUUGCGUGAAUCCACCUGCUAACACGUUGCUUGUAGGUUGGUAAAUUGUAAUUAGCUAUUUAAUGUUUUUGCUAAUCUAAGCUAAGCAUUAUUGCAAAGCAUUCUAAUAGUGGAAUUAACAAAGAAAACCUGUGCUCUGCAUGAAUUACAGAUGUCCUGUUUGUUGAUAUCUCCAGGCACAAUGACUGCCUUAUGCCACUGCCUAAUGUGAAAAGCUGAAAGAGACAGUCGAAUCCUGCAUGGAGUAAUGAAAAAAGAUUCAACAGUAUAUUACACCCAUGUCAUCAUCAUAUCCUUAAGCACAGUAUCAAAGUCUCCUCAGAGAGGCAUUUUAAGUCAAGAGCCCACUUGGAUGAGAGGUGACAGAGAGCGUCAGAGUGAAGGCAAAGCCUGCAACCCUUUGAUACUAAAUCAUUCUUCUCUUUUUAAAAUAAACAUCUUCACUACCC